This 253-nucleotide ribosomal RNA is filed under the name uncultured bacterium. RNAcentral describes it as "partial 16S ribosomal RNA". It matches the Rfam family "Bacterial small subunit ribosomal RNA", at positions 524 to 776 of the family's 1533-position model. The record is from RNAcentral.
UACGUAGGGUGCGAGCGUUAAUCGGAAUUACUGGGCGUAAAGAGUGCGCAGGCGGCCGAGCAAGUCGAGUGUGAAAGCCCCGAGCUUAACUUGGGAACUGCGCUCGAAACUACUUGGCUAGAGUGUGGCAGAGGGAGGUGGAAUUCCACGUGUAGCGGUGAAAUGCGUAGAGAUGUGGAGGAACACCGAUGGCGAAGGCAGCCUCCUGGGCCAACACUGACGCUCAUGCACGAAAGCGUGGGGAGCAAACAGG